This 497-nucleotide ribosomal RNA is filed under the name uncultured bacterium. Its description in RNAcentral is "partial 16S ribosomal RNA". It matches the Rfam family "Bacterial small subunit ribosomal RNA", at positions 28 to 507 of the family's 1533-position model. The record is from RNAcentral.
GACGAACGCUGGCGGCGUGCCUAAUACAUGCAAGUAGAACGCUGAAACUUGGUGCUUGCACCGAGCGGAUGAGUUGCGAAAGGGUGAGUAACGCGUAGGUAACCUGCCUGGUAGCGGGGGAUAACUAUUGGAAACGAUAGCUAAUACCGCAUAAGAGUAGAUGUUGCAUGACAUUUGCUUAAAAGGUGCAAUUGCACCACUACCAGAUGGACCUGCGUUGUAUUAGCUAGUUGGUGGGGUAACGGCUCACCAAGGCGACGAUACAUAGCCGACCUGAGAGGGUGAUCGGCCACACUGGGACUGAGACACGGCCCAGACUCCUACGGGAGGCAGCAGUAGGGAAUCUUCGGCAAUGGACGGAAGUCUGACCGAGCAACGCCGCGUGAGUGAAGAAGGUUUUCGGAUCGUAAAGCUCUGUUGUAAGAGAAGAACGAGUGUGAGAGUGGAAAGUUCACACUGUGACGGUAUCUUACCAGAAAGGGACGGCUAACUACGUG